Long non-coding RNA from Schistocerca cancellata (South American locust), 310 nucleotides. RefSeq lists it as uncharacterized. The transcript is spliced from 3 exons. Lineage: Eukaryota; Metazoa; Arthropoda; Insecta; Orthoptera; Acrididae. The record is from RefSeq and is a predicted model, not a curated record.
GUCGCGUUCGCACGGAGCGGUUGCGUCGCGUGGCGUGCGUGGGACAUACGACGAUCGCGAGCCCGUGCGUAGUGUUUCGCUUCCCGUAGGACUGAACUGUUGCGUUAGUAGUGAGGACCGGUGACACACGCUUCCGAGUGACCUUUUUUGUCGCCGUAGGUGGGACUGUGUUCUUCAAAUCUGCGCUCGUUUCUCGGAGGUGAUAGCAUGUGGUGAGCUCGCUUCCAGGUCUGUGUUUACAAGAGCGCUGGUGGCAACGCCCUGAGAUGUCUGCUGACCUUUCCCAGACUGCUUGAACAGAGGUAAGGAA